Lycium ferocissimum is the source of this 674-nucleotide long non-coding RNA. RefSeq lists it as uncharacterized. Lineage: Eukaryota; Viridiplantae; Streptophyta; Magnoliopsida; Solanales; Solanaceae. The record is from RefSeq and is a predicted model, not a curated record. The transcript has 2 exons.
GUAUACGGAGUAUCACACACAUGUUUUUCCCAAUUUAUGGGACACAACUCUUCAGUUUGCAAAUUAAACAUUAAUUUAAGGAAAAAGUGAUAGUAAUUUCAGGAAAUCCACGAGUUUUUCCUUAGUUUAAGGUAUAUCUUCCAAUCCAAAGAGUUGGAAGCUUCUAUAAAUAUACAAUCUCAUGAUGUUCACAAAAUCGUCCAAGGAUAAUAAAAUAAACCAAUCGGCAAAAAGAAAAAAUUAUCAAUAAAAAUUUAACCUUUGGAAAAAUGGAGGCAAAUAAAAUUGUAACAAUGUUUCUAAUGUGCAUGGUUGUGUUUUCAGCUAUGCACAUUUCCAUGGCUGAAGAUUUUCCGGGCUGCAUUGAUAGGUGUGAAAAGGAUUGCUCUGGGAAAGGCCAUGACUUUACUUACUGUAAGCUGACAUGUGAGGCUGAUUGUGGUUUGAGAGAGCUCCAAGGCAAAUUUAAGAAGCUCAUUUCUUGAACUGGACCAUGGAUGCAGGGUAUCACCCCAAGCAGGAGAUAGGGAAAAAAUUAAAUAGUAUUUUAUUUUCUUUAAUUAAUUCGCUUCAUUAAUUUCCUUUUCUACUGCCGUUGUAAUGCUUCUAAUGAGAUAUAAAAAUAAUUACAGUUUGAUUUAUUUAUUUUUAUUGAAUAAUAUUGUCUUCCUCGA